GUUAGGAAUAUUGGACAAUGGGCGCAAGCCUGAUCCAGCCAUGCCGCGUGAACGAUGAAGGCCUUCGGGUUGUAAAGUUCUUUAGCCGAUGAUUAUAAUGACUGUAGUCGGAAAAUAAGCCCCGGCUAACUUCGUGCCAGCAGCCGCGGUAAUACGCAGGGGGCGAGCGUUAUUCGGAAUCACUGGGCGUCAAGCGUGCGUAGGCGGUCUCGUAAGUUAGGAGUGAAAGCCCAGGGCUCAACCUUGGAAUUGCUCUUAAAACUGCAAGGAUAGAAUCUCGGAGAGGAUAGCGGAAUUUCCAGUGUAGCAGUGAAAUGCGUAGAUAUUGGAAGGAACACCAGUGGCGUAAGCGGCUAUCUGGACGAGUAUUGACGCUGAGGCACGAAAGCGUGGGGAUCAAACAGGAUUAGAAACCCCGGUAGUCC
This 425-nucleotide ribosomal RNA is filed under the name uncultured bacterium. RNAcentral describes it as "partial 16S ribosomal RNA". It matches the Rfam family "Bacterial small subunit ribosomal RNA", at positions 354 to 796 of the family's 1533-position model. The record is from RNAcentral.